UUUUUGAAGAGUUUGAUCCUGGCUCAGAGUGAACGCUAGCGGUGCGCCUAACACAUGCAAGUCGAGCGACUCUUCGAGAGGAGCGGCGAACGGCUGCGUAACACGUUGGUACCUACCCCAUACUCAGGAAUAACACACCGAAAGGUGUGCUAAUGCCGGAUAGUCCCGCAAGGGUAAAGCUUUCGCGGUAUGGGAGGGGCCUGCGGCCUAUCAGCUUGUUGGUA
This 224-nucleotide ribosomal RNA is filed under the name Candidatus Peregrinibacteria bacterium. RNAcentral's name for it is "partial 16S ribosomal RNA". It matches the Rfam family "Bacterial small subunit ribosomal RNA", at positions 1 to 254 of the family's 1533-position model. Lineage: Bacteria; Candidatus Peregrinibacteriota. The record is from RNAcentral.